Molecule: ribosomal RNA, 735 nt
Filed under: uncultured bacterium
Lineage: Bacteria
Description: bacterial SSU rRNA
Rfam family: Bacterial small subunit ribosomal RNA
Source: RNAcentral
GACGAACGCUGGCGGCGCUCCUAACACAUGCAAGUCGAACGAGCGAGAGAGAGCUUGCUUUCUCGAGCGAGUGGCGAACGGGUGAGUAACGCGUGAGGAACCUGCCUCAAAGAGGGGGACAACAGUUGGAAACGACUGCUAAUACCGCAUAAGCCCACGACCCGGCAUCGGGUUGAGGGAAAAGGAGCAAUCCGCUUUGAGAUGGCCUCGCGUCCGAUUAGCUAGUUGGUGAGGUAACGGCCCACCAAGGCGACGAUCGGUAGCCGGACUGAGAGGUUGAACGGCCACAUUGGGACUGAGACACGGCCCAGACUCCUACGGGAGGCAGCAGUGGGGAAUAUUGCACAAUGGGGGAAACCCUGAUGCAGCGACGCCGCGUGGAGGAAGAAGGUCUUCGGAUUGUAAACUCCUGUUGUUGAGGAAGAUAAUGACGGUACUCAACAAGGAAGUGACGGCUAACUACGUGCCAGCAGCCGCGGUAAAACGUAGGUCACAAGCGUUGUCCGGAAUUACUGGGUGUAAAGGGAGCGCAGGCGGGAAGACAAGUUGGAAGUGAAAUCUAUGGGCUCAACCCAUAAACUGCUUUCAAAACUGUUUUUCUUGAGUAGUGCAGAGGUAGGCGGAAUUCCCGGUGUGGCGGUGGAAUGCGUAGAUAUCGGGAGGAACACCAGUGGCGAANGCGGCCUACUGGGCACCAACUGACGCUGAGGCUCGAAAGUGUGGGUAGCANACAGG